RNAcentral lists this ribosomal RNA (494 nucleotides) under uncultured bacterium. RNAcentral's name for it is "partial 16S ribosomal RNA". It matches the Rfam family "Bacterial small subunit ribosomal RNA", at positions 28 to 507 of the family's 1533-position model. The record is from RNAcentral.
GACGAACGCUGGCGGCGCGCUUAACACAUGCAAGUCGAACGGAAAGGCCUGCUUUCCCUUGUGGAUUGCGGGUACUCGAGUGGCUAACGGGUGAGUAACACGUGAGUGAUCUGCCCCCAACUUGGGUAUAAGCCUGGGAAACUGGGUCUAAUUCCCGAUAGGACUGCAGGGUGGUGCCUGUGGUGAAAUACGAUUUUCUAGUGGUUGGGGAUGAGCUCGCGGCCCAUCAGCUUGUGGGUGGGGUAAGGGCCUACCAAGGCGGCGACGGGUAGCCGGCCUGAGAGGGUGGACGGUCACAUUGGGACUGAGAUACGACCCAGACGACUGCGAGAGGCCGCAGUGGGGAGUAUUGGACCAUGGGCGGAAGCCUGAUGCAGCGACGCCGCGUGGGGGAUGUCGGCCUGCGGGUUGUAAACUCCUUUCGAACGCGAGGAAGCCACCUGGGUGUAAAGGUGGUGACGGUAGUGGUAGAAGAAGCCACGGCUAACUACGUG